GAUGAACGCUGGCGGCGUGCCUAAUACAUGCAAGUCGAGCGAACGGACGAGAAGCUUGCUUCUCUGAUGUUAGCGGCGGACGGGUGAGUAACACGUGGACAACCUACCUAUAAGACUGGGAUAACUUCGGGAAACCGGAGCUAAUACCGGAUAAUAUUUUGAACCGCAUGGUUCAAAAGUGAAAGACGGUCUUGCUGUCACUUAUAGAUGGAUCCGCGCUGCAUUAGCUAGUUGGUAAGGUAACGGCUUACCAAGGCAACGAUGCAUAGCCGACCUGAGAGGGUGAUCGGCCACACUGGAACUGAGACACGGUCCAGACUCCUACGGGAGGCAGCAGUAGGGAAUCUUCCGCAAUGGGCGAAAGCCUGACGGAGCAACGUCGCGUGAGUGAUGAAGGUCUUCGGAUCGUAAAACUCUGUUAUUAGGGAAGAACAUAUGUGUAAGUAACUGUGCACAUCUUGACGGUACCUAAUCAGAAAGCCACGGCUAACUACGUG
This 497-nucleotide ribosomal RNA is filed under the name uncultured bacterium. RNAcentral describes it as "partial 16S ribosomal RNA". It matches the Rfam family "Bacterial small subunit ribosomal RNA", at positions 28 to 507 of the family's 1533-position model. The record is from RNAcentral.